UUAAUUUAUUUAAUUUAAAUUAAUCGAUAUAUUUUGAUUGCAAAAUUUAAAUUCGUUGUUUAUUUUUACAGACUUAGUUGGUAUAUUUUAUGUAAUUUUUGUAACUAAAAAUUUACGAAAAUAAUUAGCUUUUAAAGGGCGGAUAAUUGACUCAAAAUAAUUUAUAGUUCAAAUAUAUUAUAUACUUUUUUAUUUUUUGAAGAAAGAUUGUAAAUUAUCUAAUUUAUUUUUUAAUAAAAAUAAACUUAAUUAAAAAUAUAAAAUAAUUAUAUUUCGAAUUUAGAACCUUAAAUAUAUUGAUCAUCAAAUCCU
RNAcentral lists this long non-coding RNA (312 nucleotides) under Ananas comosus (pineapple). RNAcentral describes it as "long non-coding RNA (ACOM_LNC015835)". Lineage: Eukaryota; Viridiplantae; Streptophyta; Magnoliopsida; Poales; Bromeliaceae. The record is from RNAcentral.